CCUACGGGAGGCAGCAGUGAGGAAUAUUGGUCAAUGGACGAGAGUCUGAACCAGCCAAGUAGCGUGAAGGAUGACUGCCCUAUGGGUUGUAAACUUCUUUUAUAUGGGAAUAAAAUGUUCCACGUGUGGGAUUUUGUAUGUACCAUAUGAAUAAGGAUCGGCUAACUCCGUGCCAGCAGCCGCGGUAAUACGGAGGAUCCGAGCGUUAUCCGGAUUUAUUGGGUUUAAAGGGAGCGUAGGUGGAUUGUUAAGUCAGUUGUGAAAGUUUGCGACUCAACCGUAAAAUUGCAGUUGAAACUGGCAGUCUUGAGUACAGUAGAGGUGGGCGGAAUUCGUGGUGUAGCGGUGAAAUGCUUAGAUAUCACGAAGAACUCCGAUUGCGAAGGCAGUUCACUGGACUGCAACUGACACUGAGGCUCGAAAGUGUGGGUAUCAAACAGGAUUAGAUACCCGUGUAGUC
RNAcentral lists this ribosomal RNA (460 nucleotides) under uncultured bacterium. RNAcentral describes it as "partial 16S ribosomal RNA". It matches the Rfam family "Bacterial small subunit ribosomal RNA", at positions 338 to 795 of the family's 1533-position model. The record is from RNAcentral.